Molecule: ribosomal RNA, 703 nt
Filed under: Enterobacter sp. DHL-03
Lineage: Bacteria; Pseudomonadati; Pseudomonadota; Gammaproteobacteria; Enterobacterales; Enterobacteriaceae
Description: bacterial SSU rRNA
Rfam family: Bacterial small subunit ribosomal RNA
Source: RNAcentral
CACGCAGAGAGCUUGCUCUCUGGUGACGAGUGGCGGACGGGUGAGUAAUGUCUGGGAAACUGCCUGAUGGAGGGGGAUAACUACUGGAAACGGUAGCUAAUACCGCAUAACGUCGCAAGACCAAAGAGGGGGACCUUCGGGCCUCUUGCCAUCAGAUGUGCCCAGAUGGGAUUAGCUAGUAGGUGGGGUAACGGCUCACCUAGGCGACGAUCCCUAGCUGGUCUGAGAGGAUGACCAGCCACACUGGAACUGAGACACGGUCCAGACUCCUACGGGAGGCAGCAGUGGGGAAUAUUGCACAAUGGGCGCAAGCCUGAUGCAGCCAUGCCGCGUGUAUGAAGAAGGCCUUCGGGUUGUAAAGUACUUUCAGCGGGGAGGAAGGNANUNNAGUUAAUACCUUCANNNAUUGACGUUACCCGCAGAAGAAGCACCGGCUAACUCCGUGCCAGCAGCCGCGGUAAUACGGAGGGUGCAAGCGUUAAUCGGAAUUACUGGGCGUAAAGCGCACGCAGGCGGUCUGUCAAGUCNGAUGUGAAAUCCCCGGGCUCAACCUGGGAACUGCAUUUGAUACUGGCANGCUNGAGUCUUGUAGAGGGGGGUAGAAUUCCAGGUGUAGCGGUGAAAUGCGUAGAGAUCUGGAGGAAUACCGGUGGCGAAGGCGGCCCCCUGGACAGAAGACUGACGCUCAGGUGCGAAAGCGUGG